Molecule: long non-coding RNA, 1507 nt
Filed under: Pan troglodytes (chimpanzee)
Lineage: Eukaryota; Metazoa; Chordata; Mammalia; Primates; Hominidae
Description: long non-coding RNA NONPTRT014936
Source: RNAcentral
UUGACCUUUGACAUUACCGUUACAGUGAUGAUAAUAAAGAUAAUGAAAACUAUUUUAUAUGCAAUUUCUAUCCUGAAAUUUAUAGGGCUUUAAUAUUUCUUCCCUUAUUCAUCCUCAGAGCAUACCUGGGAAGUAGGAGAGAAAAUUGUUAGUACCUCCAUCACGUGGGCGACAUCUGUCAUUUCAAUUUGAUAUUUGCAUCGACUUGGACACCCACAUUCACCUCUUGGCAAUGCUUUGUUUCCUUGUCUCUUAGGACGGAACAUGCUGCUGGUUUUUCCAUGUCUCGGUCUCCUUCUGCUGAGUAUUCUUCUAUUUCAAUCAUGAGUGUAGCAGCCCAUUUCAACAUACUGAAAACACUCACCCUAGGUAAGUAUCCAUCCCUGUACCUCUGCUCCAUUUAAAUGGCAGCUGCUCUGGGUUCCAGGUGGCAGUGUUAGCACCUGUUCGUUUACUAAUGGAGGUCUAGAACAUAAGGUGCAGCAUCUGGCAAAGGGUACAGGCUUGGGAAUUAAUUGCUGAGUAAACCUCAUUCCAAUCCUGUCUGUCUCUCCAAACUCCAGACCACAUAUCCGACGACUUGCUCAACAUCUCCAGAUUAACAGCUCACAGGACUUCACACUUGACAUUUCCCAAGCCUGCUUCCUGCCCAGGAUGCCCUUUUGUAGAAAGCAGCCCCACCGUACAAGCCAUUGUCAGGCCGGCUUCCUGGGAGACUGACUCCAGUCUCCUCCCAUCACCUCAUUUCACAUAUUAAUUCACCGCCAAAUCUUGGUGUUUCUCUUUCCUGAAUAGUUCUCACACUUAUCCACGUCUCCUUCACCCCCACUGGCACGACCCGGAUGUGGGACAGCACCAGCUCUCUCCACUGCAGCCCCUUCCCUGGCUUCCAGUCUCAUUUCCCAUCAGUCCCUUCUCUUCUCUGCUACCAGGGUAGAACUUUUUUUUUUUUUUUUUUUUUUGAGAAGGAGUCUUGCUCUGUCACCCAGGCCUCAGUUCAGUGGCACGGUUUUGGUUCACUGCAACUUCUGCCUCUCAGGUUCAAGCAAUUCUCCUGCCACAGCCUCCCGAGUAGCUGAGAUUACAGGCACCCACCACCACACCCGUCUAACUGUUACUUUUUUUUGGUAGAGACGGGGUUUCACCAUGUUGGCCAGGCUGGUCUUGAACUCCUGACCUCAGGUGAUCCACCCGCCUGGGCCUCCCAAAAUGCUGGGAUUCCAGGCGUGAGCCACCGCACCCGGCCCCAGGGUAGAACUUUUAAAAUGCAAUCUGGUCAGCAUUGUGGCCCAAAAGCCUUCAAUAGUUUCCCAGUUCACUCAGGAGAAAGCCAUAUUUUUCAGGUUUUGACUCGUGUCAAUUUUAAGGAAGACUUCUUACAUCUGGACCCAACACACACACACACGUGAGUGCACACACGCCCAUGCGAGUGCGCACACACCCACGAGAGUGCACACACACGCACGCACACAUAUUUUGAUGGGUCAUGAUUCUCAGAUAAGAAAUA